UACACAUGCAAGUCGAACGGCAGCAUGAUCUAACUUGCUAGAUUGAUGGCGAGUGGCGAACGGGUGAGUAAUACAUCGGAACGUGCCCUGUAGUGGGGGAUAACUAGUCGAAAGAUUAGCUAAUACCGCAUACGACCUGAGGGUGAAAGUGGGGGACCGCAAGGCCUCAUGCUAUAGGAGCGGCCGAUGUCUGAUUAGCUAGUUGGUGGGGUAAAGGCCCACCAAGGCGACGAUCAGUAGCUGGUCUGAGAGGACGAUCAGCCACGCUGGGACUGAGACACGGCCCAGACUCCUACGGGAGGCAGCAGUGGGGAAUUUUGGACAAUGGGCGAAAGCCUGAUCCAGCAAUGCCGCGUGUGUGAAGAAGGCCUUCGGGUUGUAAAGCACUUUUGUCCGGAAAGAAAUGGCUCUGGUUAAUACCUGGGGUCGAUGACGGUACCGGAAGAAUAAGGACCGGCUAACUACGUGCCAGCAGCCGCGGUAAUACGUAGGGUCCAAGCGUUAAUCGGAAUUACUGGGCGUAAAGCGUGCGCAGGCGGUUGUGCAAGACCGAUGUGAAAUCCCCGAGCUUAACUUGGGAAUUGCAUUGGUGAUUGCACGGCUAGAGUGUGUCAGAGGGGGGUAGAAUUCCACGUGUAGCAGUGAAAUGCGUAGAGAUGUGGAGGAAUACCGAUGGCGAAGGCAGCCCCCUGGGAUAACACCGACGCUC
This 709-nucleotide ribosomal RNA is filed under the name uncultured beta proteobacterium. RNAcentral's name for it is "bacterial SSU rRNA". It matches the Rfam family "Bacterial small subunit ribosomal RNA", at positions 50 to 748 of the family's 1533-position model. The record is from RNAcentral. Lineage: Bacteria; Pseudomonadati; Pseudomonadota; Betaproteobacteria.